This 495-nucleotide ribosomal RNA is filed under the name uncultured bacterium. RNAcentral's name for it is "bacterial SSU rRNA". It matches the Rfam family "Bacterial small subunit ribosomal RNA", at positions 17 to 507 of the family's 1533-position model. The record is from RNAcentral.
UCAUGGCUCAGAUUGAACGCUGGCGGAAUGCUUUACACAUGCAAGUCGAGCGGCAGCGCGGGGGCAACCCUGGCGGCGAGCGGCGAACGGGUGAGUAACAUAUCGGAACGUACCCAGUCGUGGGGGAUAACUAUCCGAAAGGAUAGCUAAUACCGCAUACGUCCUGAGGGAGAAAGCGGGGGAUCGCAAGACCUCGCGCGAUUGGAGCGGCCGAUAUCGGAUUAGCUAGUUGGUGGGGUAAAGGCUCACCAAGGCGACGAUCCGUAGCGGGUCUGAGAGGACGACCCGCCACACUGGAACUGAGACACGGUCCAGACUCCUACGGGAGGCAGCAGUGGGGAAUUUUGGACAAUGGGCGCAAGCCUGAUCCAGCCAUGCCGCGUGAGUGAAGAAGGCCUUCGGGUUGUAAAGCUCUUUCGGCCGGGAAGAAAUCGCACGGGUUAAUACCCUGUGUGGAUGACGGUACCGGAAUAAGAAGCACCGGCUAACUACGUG